This 323-nucleotide unclassified non-coding RNA is filed under the name Hevea brasiliensis (rubber tree). Lineage: Eukaryota; Viridiplantae; Streptophyta; Magnoliopsida; Malpighiales; Euphorbiaceae. The record is from RNAcentral.
AACCCUAAACUUUCCAGGCACUGGCCCUCUCUCUCCAUUAAAGCAGAUUCUCGCCGCUCGCCGGUUCAUCUUUCGUCUUCCUUUCUUAUGCAUUUUGUUGAGGGAUCUGAGGCUGUGUUUUCUGUUUUUGAUUUUCAUAUUUUUUUUCUGUGUUUUGCCCGAUGAUGUACAUCACAAACUUGUUGAACGGUUGCAAAUGUUUGCUUUAGUUCACGCUAGCCUUCACUCACUAUCACUUUCGCCACCUCUACCACCACCACUACCUCCUCCUCCUCCUCAUUCUCUUCUUUAUUCAUACAUACAUAUAUAUAUAUAUAUACACA